UACGUAGGGUGCGAGCGUUAAUCGGAUUUACUGGGCGUAAAGCGUGCGCAGGCGGCCCGUUAAGACAGGUGUGAAAUCCCUGGGCUCAACCUAGGAAUUGCGCUUGUGACUGGCGGGCUCGAGUACGGUAGAGGGGGGUGGAAUUCCUGGUGUAGCAGUGAAAUGCGUAGAGAUCAGGAGGAACACCGAUGGCGAAGGCAGCCCCCUGGGCCUGUACUGACGCUCAUGCACGAAAGCGUGGGUAGCAAACAGG
This 253-nucleotide ribosomal RNA is filed under the name uncultured microorganism. Its description in RNAcentral is "partial 16S ribosomal RNA". It matches the Rfam family "Bacterial small subunit ribosomal RNA", at positions 524 to 776 of the family's 1533-position model. The record is from RNAcentral.